RNAcentral lists this ribosomal RNA (804 nucleotides) under Bacillus subtilis. RNAcentral describes it as "bacterial SSU rRNA". It matches the Rfam family "Bacterial small subunit ribosomal RNA", at positions 56 to 839 of the family's 1533-position model. The record is from RNAcentral. Lineage: Bacteria; Bacillati; Bacillota; Bacilli; Caryophanales; Bacillaceae.
UGCAAGUCGAGCGGACAGAUGGGAGCUUGCUCCCUGAUGUUAGCGGCGGACGGGUGAGCUAACACGUGGGUAACCUGCCUGUAAGACUGGGAUAACUCCGGGAAACCGGGGCUAAUACCGGAUGCUUGUUUGAACCGCAUGGUUCAAACAUAAAAGGUGGCUUCGGCUACCACUUACAGAUGGACCCGCGGCGCAUUAGCUAGUUGGUGAGGUAAUGGCUCACCAAGGCAACGAUGCGUAGCCGACCUGAGAGGGUGAUCGGCCACACUGGGACUGAGACACGGCCCAGACUCCUACGGGAGGCAGCAGUAGGGAAUCUUCCGCAAUGGACGAAAGUCUGACGGAGCAACGCCGCGUGAGUGAUGAAGGUUUUCGGAUCGUAAAGCUCUGUUGUUAGGGAAGAACAAGUACCGUUCGAAUAGGGCGGUACCUUGACGGUACCUAACCAGAAAGCCACGGCUAACUACGUGCCAGCAGCCGCGGUAAUACGUAGGUGGCAAGCGUUGUCCGGAAUUAUUGGGCGUAAAGGGCUCGCAGGCGGUUCCUUAAGUCUGAUGUGAAAGCCCCCGGCUCAACCGGGGAGGGUCAUUGGAAACUGGGGAACUUGAGUGCAGAAGAGGAGAGUGGAAUUCCACGUGUAGCGGUGAAAUGCGUAGAGAUGUGGAGGAACACCAGUGGCGAAGGCGACUCUCUGGUCUGUAACUGACGCUGAGGAGCGAAAGCGUGGGGAGCGAACAGGAUUAGAUACCCUGGUAGUCCACGCCGUAAAACGAUGAGUGCUAAGUGUUAGGGGGUUCCCGCCCC